UCUAUUGUUCUCGUGACAUCGCUUUUGUCACUGUACACAAAAAAAUUAUAUUUGUGAUUAUAAUCAAUAAUAAAAAUUGUUUAACGGAAAGACGAGAUAACAAAUCAUAUUUGUAAAUACAACCAAGAUAAUAAAUCGUUUUUUAUUAAAUAAACCAGAUAUCUACCUGAAGACAAGCCACGAAAUGAAUUGGUCAACUCGACUCACUGUAUUGAUGAUUGUUUCUUGUAUUACCACGAUGCAUGUCCAUAGUUAUUUCCAAAUUCAUUCAAUGGAUCCUACAUUAAUGAUAAUCGACGAUAAAGAAGCCUUUGCUUUUCUUGGUAAGAAUACAGGUAAAAAUUCCAAAUGCGAAGAAACUCCAACACCUGGUUACGGUUUAUUCGUCGACAAUGAAGAAGUGCCCAAGCCAUUUGUGGUGGUGUAAUAUACCUGACACGAAAGCCUUAUAAAGGCGUUUUCAAAGAAGCUGGCUCAGGAUAAAGAAAGACUAUUACUUCAGAUUUUUCACUUGCCUCAAAACAACAUUCUAACAUAAGACUCCUUGAAGUUGUACUUUUUCAUGUUUGUUAAUACAAAUAAUGUAUAUAUUGUGUACAUCCUUCUAAUAUACUAUUAACGUCUUAUAAUUGUUCUGUUUAAGUUCUGUUAAUAUUGAUGUAUAUGCUGUGCACAUCCUUCUAAUAUACUGUUAACUCCUUACAAUUGUCCUUAUAUGUUCUGUUAAUACUAUUUGAUAUGCUCCGUCUUACCUUCUAACAUACUGUUAACUCAGUACAGUUAUCAUUUAUAUGUUCUGUUAAUAAAAUUUAAUAUGUUGUGUAUAACAUUCUAAUAUACUGUUAACUCUUUAAAAUUAAAUAUUUUUCAUGUUCUGUUUAUACAAAUUUUUAUGCUGUAUGAAACCUUCUAACAUACUGAUAAAUCCUUACAAUUAUACAUUUUAUGUUUUGGCAAUACAAAUUAAUAUGCUGUUUACAACCUUCUAAUAUACUUUUAACUCCUUACAA
This is a long non-coding RNA of Mytilus californianus (California mussel), 1010 nucleotides long. RefSeq lists it as uncharacterized. NCBI's taxonomy places the organism in Eukaryota, Metazoa, Mollusca, Bivalvia, Mytilida, Mytilidae. The transcript has 4 exons. The record is from RefSeq and is a predicted model, not a curated record.